CCUACGGGAGGCUGCAGUAGGGAAUAUUGCUCAAUGGGCGAAACCCUGAAGCAGCAACGUCGCGUGGAGGAUGAAUGUUCUCGGGUUUUUAACCCUUUUUUUUAGAGAAGUUAAUUACGGUAUCUUACGAAUAAGCACCGGCCAACUCCGUGCCAGCAGCCGCGGUAAUACGGAGGCGGCAAGCGUUACUCGGAAUCACUGGGCGUAAAGGGCGCGUAGAGGGGUUAGCAAGUCAGAUGUGAAAUUCUAGGGCUUAACCAUAAAACUGCAAUUGAUACUGGUAGUCUAGAGUAUGGGUGAGGUAGGUGGAAUUCUUGGUGUAGGGGUAAAAUGCGUAGAGAUCAAGAGGAAUACUGAUUGCGAAGGCAGCCUGCUAGAACAUAACUGACACUGAUGCGCGAAAGCGUGGGUAGCAAACAGGAUUAGAUACCCGAGUAGUC
This 440-nucleotide ribosomal RNA is filed under the name uncultured bacterium. RNAcentral describes it as "partial 16S ribosomal RNA". It matches the Rfam family "Bacterial small subunit ribosomal RNA", at positions 338 to 795 of the family's 1533-position model. The record is from RNAcentral.